Molecule: long non-coding RNA, 1497 nt
Filed under: Homo sapiens (human)
Lineage: Eukaryota; Metazoa; Chordata; Mammalia; Primates; Hominidae
Description: HSALNT0354268
Source: RNAcentral
GGUAAUGGAGCAGAGACUGGAGCAGAGACAAGUUGUUCCCACUGAGCUCUCCUCAGAUUACAGAUUGGUCUGAUUAUAAAAGGAGAAUUGGAGGCUUACCAAACAUCUGAAGAGCUUUCCAGAAGUUUGGUCACUUCUGAAUUAGAGAAGUUAAAACCCAAUCACCUACUAAUGCUGUGGGAAAGUUCUGCAGGUGAUACAUCACAGGGGCUCAUGAAUGUGUCUUAAGCUGGGUCAUUGAAGUGGAAUGUUUUCACAAGACCUCCUCCACUUGCUACUGUGUCCGGAAUUGGUGGGUUCUUGGUCUCACUGACUUCAAGAAUGAAGCCGCGGACCCUCGCGGGAGUGGCAAAUCAAAGGCAUUGCAGCCUCUUUCAUCACUGCCGAUUGCUGAUGCCAACCAUGUGCCAAGUGCUUAAUACGUCACCUUAAAUCUUCUCAUCCACCCUCAGAGACAUUCUUAUUCAAAAGAAAGAACACCGAAAUUGACCUUACCCUGACAAUAUGAUGGCUGAAGGAUUUAUGAUCACUUAUAACAUUUGAAAUUGAGGCGGAACCUGAAGAAUAAGACUCUGGUGAAAGGUCCUAUUUAUGCUUUUGAUGUCUUUCACUUGGACAUUUACCACAUGCCUAUUGGUAGGUUUGUUACAUAGGUCAGUUAAGGUGAUACAAGAAUAAAUAAAACACUAUCCCUAUCCUUUAAUAUCAUUUAUUUAUGGGGUCAAUCACAGAUUUUCAUUUUUCAAAAUCUUUGAUAAAUGUCAGAAUUAUGUUUUUUAAUAUUUUUACAGAAUUAUUACAAUAUAUGGUAGAGGAUGGAAGGCAAGGUAGUAUGAAACGGAAAAGAUAUUUUGAAUUAAGGUAUUUGGACCUGGAUUAAUAUUUUUGCUUUGGUCUUUAUUAGCUGAGUGACCUUGAGAAAGUUCUUCUACUAAAAAAGAACAAAGAUAAUAAUUACUUCAUGAAAUUGCUGUAAAAAACACAUAACAAGUAUAUCCAGACUCAACAGUGUAUGCUCAAAAAUGCAGAUCCUUUUUCCCUUACCUGCAAAUAAAGUCUUACAGUAAUACAGUGGGGGUAAAGGUUUAAACUGGUGGAUUCAAGAAGGGCUAUAGAAAGAGGUAGCAUCUUAAUAGGGGAAGGAGAGGAUCCAAGAAAUCAGAUCCAUUUUCUACAAAAAGAAAUGGGAAGACAGAUAAUUCAAGAAGAAAAGUUUACAUGAUUAAAGACCCGAAGUUAGAAAUAGUGAUGUGUCUCAAUAGUAAGUUAGGAAUUGGGGUGGACACAAUUGUUGGAAGAAGGAUGGUUUCAGCAAAGGCCCAAGUUAGGUGACAAUUUCAAGUGUUUGUGAAGAUAUAUGAACAAAAUUAUAAAGUAGUUAGGGUAUAAGAAAUAGGGAGGAGGGAAUGAAUUAACAUUUAUGGAGUGUCUUGCAUGUUCCAAGCACUGUACUACUUGCCUUAUAAACCUUUCUUCAAUAAACGCCUACAACAAUCC